This 253-nucleotide ribosomal RNA is filed under the name uncultured bacterium. RNAcentral describes it as "partial 16S ribosomal RNA". It matches the Rfam family "Bacterial small subunit ribosomal RNA", at positions 524 to 776 of the family's 1533-position model. The record is from RNAcentral.
UACGUAGGCAGCGAGCGUUGUUCGGAGUUACUGGGCGUAAAGGGUGUGUAGGCGGUCCCUUAAGUUUGGUGUGAAAUCUCCCGGCUCAACUGGGAGGGUGCGCCGGAUACUGAGGGGCUAGAGUGCGGGAAGGGAAAGUGGAAUUCCUGGUGUAGCGGUGAAAUGCGUAGAUAUCAGGAGGAACACCGGUGGUGCAAACGGCUUUCUGGACCGUAACUGACGCUGAGACACGAAAGCGUGGGGAGCGAACAGG